This is a long non-coding RNA of Odocoileus virginianus texanus, 1709 nucleotides long. RefSeq lists it as uncharacterized. The record is from RefSeq and is a predicted model, not a curated record. NCBI's taxonomy places the organism in Eukaryota, Metazoa, Chordata, Mammalia, Artiodactyla, Cervidae.
GCAGACUCGGAGCUCCGCCGGCGGGAGGGGCGGGGCCGGGCUGCGGCACAGCAUCCUCCUGUCCCCACUGUCACUGUGUCAUCUGACAGCGCUCACAGCCUGUUCCGUUCCGGGGACGGUAGGAGGCACUUGGGGAUGACAGCACUAAAACAAACGUCCUUGCCUUUGUGGAGUUCUUGGUUAAAUUAGAAAGAUAAAGGUGGUGGUCGGGGUGGGGGAUUAACACAUGAAGACGCUUGGAGCAAGACACUAAAAAGGAGCAUGAAAGUUUUACAUGGAAUUUCUAGAAUCGAAAAACAGCUAUUGAAAGUCAAGUUCUCAAAGGAUGAGGCAAGAAAGCCUAUUAGAUACAGCAGAAGAGAAAAUCACUGAACUGGAUGAAAGAUCAGAAGCAAUGAGCCAGAAAACAAGCCAGAUGGAACAUAUAAAAGAGAAAGGGACCAGGAAUGAUAAAGUGAGGAAAACUCGGGUCCAAUCAGCGUUCCAGAAGGAGAGAAGAGAAUGUGGGAGAGGCAAUUCCUGAACAACUUCCAAAAUUGAUUAAAGAUGAGGAUCCUCACCUAAAAUCUGGAACAGAAUAAAUACAAAUAAAUCUCAUCUAAACACUUUGUAGUGAAUUUGCAGAACGUUAAAGGGAAGAAAUUAGAAAAAUGGCAAGUACUAUAAGCAUGGAAGUCCAACUAAACAAGUAGCUGCUAUAGAACAUGAAUGGUGACAGUUCGUGGAGUGCAGAGCAAGGAUCAGGACAUGAUAACAGGUAAGCCCCCGAAGGGCAGCGUUUCCUCCGUAUUUGGCCCCUGCCCUCCUGGCCGUCAAACAGAAUAUAGCACAUGGCACGUGCUUAGUAAACACCUGCUGGAUGCGGACCUCUCCUCUGAGCACCCACUAUGUCAUCUCUGCGAGACACCGCCUAUCUGAGGGGCGCUCUCCCACCCAUACGAGCAGAGCCUGAGUCUGGGCUGUGCACUGAUGCUGGGCACUAAGGGCUCAAAGAAGACUGGUGAGGAGACAGUGUCAGCUCCGGGCAGCGCCUCUUCUGUGCUGUUGGAGGGUUUCUGUCUGGGACUCGUGGGCCUGAGGAACGGCAGAGCUGGCCUUGGCUGUCCCGUGAGGGUGGAACAACCCCUGGUCUGGUUGCUCACCAGAUAUCUUGUGACCCAGCAGUUUCCUUCUCUGAGCCUCUCUUUGCUCCUUUACUCAACAGCAGACAGAUCUGGGUCUAAAGUAGUUUUAUCACUUACAGCAUAACUUGGAACAAAAUCUUUUUCUUUUUCCCCUCUUUUUGGGACAUCUUAACAACUUAAUCUUGCAACUCUUCUGUUGCAUUUAUUCCCUUCAUAUUUUUUUUUAUCUUUCAAAAGUUCUUAUCUCUGUAUGAUAUUUUUGUUUUAGCCUCCUAUACUCUUAACCAGAGCAUGAAGGACUAUGCCAGAGGUUCUCAACCUUAGCUAUGUCACAAAAACCCAAGGAGCUUUUACAAACUGAGCUUACUCAGGGAUUAUGAUUAAAUUGGCCUAGGGUGGGGCCCAAGCAUAGCUUGGUUUUUGUUUCUCAGUUGGCCGUCUCAUCUUCACCAGAAAUAAGCUCUUGCCACUGUCUCCUUUAUAUCUAGACUGGGACCUAGUACAUAGCAAGCAUUCACUAGUAACUGAAUGAACAUAGCACUCAUUUGCAAAGGGAGUUUGCAAAAUAAAAACAAGUUUUAGGUA